Pipra filicauda (Wire-tailed manakin) is the source of this 1555-nucleotide long non-coding RNA. RefSeq lists it as uncharacterized. NCBI's taxonomy places the organism in Eukaryota, Metazoa, Chordata, Aves, Passeriformes, Pipridae. The record is from RefSeq and is a predicted model, not a curated record. The transcript has 2 exons.
UGGGACUGUGAGAGGGGAGGGCAGGAUUGGUGCCCAGCAUCAGCAACCCGUGCUGGGCGCUGGGCAUCCCUCCUGCUGCUCCCGGCUGUCCCCGCACGGCCUCGCUGUGCUGGAACACUUCCCCCGGCAGCCAGUGCCUUCCUCUGGUGCUUUGGAAGCCCAAACCCUGCCCUGACUCACACACAAAGCUACAGGAUCCACGGCUGGGCCAGACCUUGGAGAGCCUGAGGUGGGUGAAAGGAUAUAAGUGGGUGCAGCACGGAAAACCCGCUCCGACGGCGUCCUGCCGUCCCUUGGAGGAGCUCAGGGCGAAGAGCCGAGGAGCCAGGGAACAGGGAACAGGUUUUCCUGCCCAUCCAGCCCCGCAGGUGGCAUCAGCCAUCGGACAGGGCACGUUUUCCCCGGGACCAGUGUCUCUGGCAGGGAGACGAGCCGGUGUGUCCGGGUGGUGCUGCAGCAAAGGCCGUCGCCCUGCUCGGCGUCACCAGGGCCGGAGCAUCCACACUCCUGUUCCCAAUUCCCAGGUGGAAUAUCUCCCUGGGACACGGGGUGUACAGGGGAUCAUCUGCUCUUUAUCCCACACCGUGGUGUGGGGUGUGCAGGGGGUUUAUCCCACACUAGGGAGGGAGUCUGUGUCCUCCCUGCCCGGAAAAAGGCCCAGGCUGGGUGAGCCCAGGGUGUCCGUGCAGGUUGGAGGGGCAGGAUCAGCACCAGGAAUCACAGGGAUCCGGGACAAGGAAUCUGCUCCUCUGCUGCCUGAACAAAGCAAGACCUGCCGAGAGGGAGAGGGAGGAAGUUGCACCUCAAAUUCCUCCCGUGCUGCAGACUCCAGACACGUCAGGUGGAAGAGGAGCACCAGCCCAGCCAGGGUGUUGAUGCUCCGAAGACCCAACAGUGAGGGGAGAAUGGAGGUGCCUCGGUGUCACUGCCCUGCUCUGGCCGCCCUCGUGCCGUGCCUGCAUCCCGCUGGAUGGUCCUGAUCCUGCCAUGGUUUAACAACAAGGGUGCCUGGAUCUGUCUGUGGAGCCUCCCCACUUCCCAAUUCCAAAAGCCCGAGAGCCCUCAGGCACGGAGGGCCCUCCCUCGCUGCCCGUUCCACAGCACCACCCGAAAACACCUUCCCUGAGCUUCCCAGGAAUACCCGGGGACGGCUCAGCCUUUUGGGGUCACCCCUUAACAGCCUUUCCCCUCUCCCAGCACCAACCACGGGGCUGGAUCCAGCGCUCCAGGGCCCCCACUCAGCCCCGCAUCCCCGGGCACCGCCGGGAGCCAGGGGAGCAGGAGGGAGAGGGACCCAACUCCCAAACCCACAGGCGGCAAAGGAGGAGCACGGAGGCUCCAGGAGGGACCCGGGGGUGGCUGAGAGCCGAGCGCCCUCGGAGCGAUGCUCCCAAAUCCCUCUCUCCCAAAGAACAAAGCUCCAACCUCCCCGCGGAUGCAGAACGAGCGACGAUGAUUUAUUUCUCUUCCCCGGUAGAUAAAUCGGCCUCGGAAAACGGGUUGGUGCUAAAUUACAAUUUGCAUGCGGUAAUAUAUUUAAGCAACUUUCCUUCCA